This 107-nucleotide small nuclear RNA is filed under the name Pongo abelii (Sumatran orangutan). Lineage: Eukaryota; Metazoa; Chordata; Mammalia; Primates; Hominidae. The record is from RNAcentral.
GUACUCACUUUGGCAGCACGUAUAUUAAAAUAGGAAUGAUACAGAGAAGAUCAGCAUGGCCCCUGCAAAAGGGUGGCAUGCAAAUUCAUGAAGGAUUCCAUAUUUUU